Oryza sativa Japonica Group (Japanese rice) is the source of this 733-nucleotide non-coding RNA. The record is from RefSeq and is a predicted model, not a curated record. NCBI's taxonomy places the organism in Eukaryota, Viridiplantae, Streptophyta, Magnoliopsida, Poales, Poaceae.
GCCUCAUGGACGAGGAGCAGAAAGACGAGCUGCUGACAGGUGGGUCCACAUGUCAUCCGCUCAUGCCAACCGCAAACCUUCCUGCAUCCACCGCGAGCCGCCCCCAUCGCGGCGGCCGCCGGCGUCGGCGGCGGCGGUGGCGGCGGCGCAGCCGCCGUCUUCGCGCCUCCGUGCGGAACCACCGACUAUCACCUGGUGCCAUGUAGCCAAAAGUUCCAGCUAUAGCAGAAAAUGACUCGUCGUCUCCAGCUUUGAGAAGAAUCUUUGCAAGCCCAAAAUCUGCCAUCUUUGCUCUGAAGUUGUGAUCCAGAAGGAUGUUGGCACACUUGACAUCUCGAUGCACUAUGGGAGGCGAGCAAUGGUGAUGCAUGUAGCAAAGGCCUCUCGCUGAGUCGAUGGCAAUUUGCAAUCUUGUUGGCCAAUCCAGAGGUCCUGGCACACCAAUUCUUUCCCUCUGGUGAAGCCAUUGAUGUAGGCUGCCGUUUUCCAUGUACUCGUAGAUCAGAAGCUUUGCCUCUGAACUUGAGAUGCAGCAUAGAAGCUUGACAAUGUUUGUGUGCCUGAUCUCUCCCAAUAUCUGAACCUCUGCAAGGAAGUCCUUCUCCAGCUUGUUAUCAAUAUUUUGCAUGUUCCAUAUCUUUUUGACAGCCAUCAUCCUGCCACCACUUGUUCUAUCUCCAGCAUAAACCCGGUACACCUUGCCAGACCUGCCACUUCCAAUCCAAUUCUGCUC